Molecule: non-coding RNA, 29 nt
Filed under: Homo sapiens (human)
Lineage: Eukaryota; Metazoa; Chordata; Mammalia; Primates; Hominidae
Source: RNAcentral
UGACUGGGGCCAGCUCCCUAAUGAAGGAA